AUUGAACGCUGGCGGCAGGCCUAACACAUGCAAGUCGAACGAGUGGCGGACGGGUGAGUACUGUCUGGGAAACUGCCCGAUGGAGGGGGAUCACUACUGGAAACGGUAGCUAAUACCGCAUACCAUCGGAUGUGCCCAGAUGGGAUUAGCUAGUAGGUGGGGUAACGGCUCACCUAGGCGACGAUCCCUAGCUGUUUUGAGCGGAGGACCAGCAACAAUGGAACGGAGACACGGUCCAGACUCCUACGGGAGGCAGGAGUGGGGAAUAUUGCACAAUUGGCGCAAGCCUGAUGCAGCCAUGCCGCGUGUAUGAAGAAGGCCUUCGGGUUGUAAAGUACUUUCAGCGAGGAGGCGUUACUCGCAGAAGAAGCACCGGCUAACUCCGUGCCAGCAGCCGCGGUAAUAC
Molecule: ribosomal RNA, 406 nt
Filed under: uncultured bacterium
Lineage: Bacteria
Description: partial 16S ribosomal RNA
Rfam family: Bacterial small subunit ribosomal RNA
Source: RNAcentral